AUGCCUGCCUUCCACGCAUACGGAGAUGGCGGGUGCCUCGUCUCUGCCCCGGCCGAGCUUUCCAGGAUGUUCUGCCGCGGUGGCGGAGCGGUGGUUCAGCAGCGGAAGCGCUCUCUGGUGGCCGCGUCGGCGGUCGCCGCCGCGGCGGCCGAGUGCAUGAGGGCCAGCAAGAAGCAGAGGCAGCCCCCGCAGCCGUCCCUGGACGUGCUCCCGGACGAGUGCCUCUUCGAGGUCCUGCGCCGCCUGCCCGGCGGCCGCGAGCGCGCUGACUCCGCCUGCGUCUCCCGCCGCUGGCUGGCGCUCCUCGCCAGCAUUCGGAUCUCCGAGCUCGGUCAUGCCGCGGCGGCCGCCCCGUCCCUGCCCGAUCUCAACGAGGAGUUCGUCAUGGAGGAGGAUACGGACGACUCCCCCGCAGAUCCCUGCGUCGAGAGGGUCCUCGAGGGCAACGAGGCCACCGAUGUCCGCCUCGCCGCCAUGGCUGUUGUCGCUGGAUCCCGCCGCGGGCUGGAGAAGCUCGCCAUCCGUGGGAGCCACCCGUCGCGCGGGGUCACGGACCAGGGGCUCCUGGCCGUCGCCUGCGGCAGUCCUAACCUCUGCUCGCUCUCGCUGUGGGAUGUGCCGCUUGUGACCGACGCUGGGCUCGCUGAGAUCGCCGCCGGGUGCCCCUCGCUGGAGCGUCUGGAUAUCACUUCUUGCCCGCUCAUCACAGACAAGGGCCUUGCUGCUAUUGCUCAGGGGUGCCCCAACUUGGUGUCUCUGACCAUCGAGGCCUGCUCCGGCGUUGGCAACGAGGGCCUGAGGGCGAUUGGCCGGUGCUGCUUGAAGCUGCAGGCUGUGAGCAUCAAGAACUGUGUGCACGUUGGCGACCAGGGCAUUUCUAGCCUCGUGUGCUCCGCUUCCGCGUCAUUGGCCAAGAUCCGUCUCCAGGGAUUGAACAUCACAGAUGCUUCGCUUGCCGUGAUUGGGUACUAUGGGAAGGCCGUCACAGAUCUUACACUUGCUCGCCUUGCUGCUGUUGGUGAGAGGGGGUUUUGGGUGAUGGCCAAUGCCGCCGGCUUGCAGAAGUUGAGGUGCAUGAGUGUCACCUCUUGCCUUGGGGUCACUGAUCUUGCUAUCACUUGUAUUGCCAAGUUCUGCCCAGGCUUGAAACAGCUUUGCCUCAGGAAGUGUGGACAUGUGUCGGAUGCUGGUCUUAAGGCUUUCACAGAAUCAGCAAAGGUGAUGGAAAACCUGCAGCUUGAAGAGUGCAACAGGGUUACUCUUGUUGGUGUUCUGGCCUGCCUUAUCAACUGCAGCCAGAAGUUCAGGGCUCUCUCCUUGGUGAAAUGCACAGGUGUCAAGGAUGUCUGUUCUGCUCCUGCACAACUUCCUGUCUGCAAAUCACUUCGUUUCUUGACAAUCAAGGAUUGCCCAGGUUUCACUGAUGCAAGCUUGGCCGUAGUCGGUAUGAUCUGCCCUCAGCUGGAGCAAGUCGACCUGAGUGGUCUUGGUGAGGUCACUGACAAUGGGCUUCUUCUGUUGAUAAAAUCUUCCGAGGGUAGCCUGGUCAAGGUUGACUUGAGUGGUUGCAAGAACAUCACAGAUGUUGCUGUUUCUUCCCUGGUGAAGGCACAUGGAAAAUCUGUUAAGCAAGUUAGUCUCGAGGGUUGCAGCAAGAUAACAGAUGCAAGCCUCUUCUGUAUUUCUGAGAACUGCACUGAGCUUGCAGAGCUUGAUCUUUCUAACUGCAUGGUCAGCGACUCCGGUGUUGCAAGCCUGGCGUCCGCAAAGCACUUCAAGCUCCGUGUCCUCUCGCUGUUUGGCUGCUCUAAGGUCACACAGGUGGGCGUGCAGUUCUUGGGCAGCAUGGGUAAGUUGGAGGGCCUCAAUCUUCAGUACUGCAACAUGAUUGGCAACCACAACAUUGCAUCGCUGGAGAAGCAGCUCUGGUGGUGCGACAUUCUCGCCUAG
RNAcentral lists this ribosomal RNA (1950 nucleotides) under Triticum aestivum (bread wheat). Its description in RNAcentral is "partial small subunit ribosomal RNA". The record is from RNAcentral. Lineage: Eukaryota; Viridiplantae; Streptophyta; Magnoliopsida; Poales; Poaceae.